This 21-nucleotide microRNA is filed under the name Schistosoma mansoni. Its description in RNAcentral is "sma-miR-8404-3p". The record is from miRBase by way of RNAcentral. Lineage: Eukaryota; Metazoa; Platyhelminthes; Trematoda; Strigeidida; Schistosomatidae.
AAUUUUGUAAUGUACUAACCU